GGGGGGGGUAAGCGUUGUUCGGAAUUACUGGGCGUAAAGGGCUCGUAGGCGGCCAACUAAGUCAGACGUGAAAUCCCUCAGCUUAACUGGGGAACUGCGUCUGAUACUGGAUGGCUUGGAUUCGGGAGAGGAAUGCGGAAUUCCAGGUGUAGCGGUGAAAUGCGUAGAUAUCUGGAGGAACACCGGUGGCGAAGGCGGCAUUCUGGACCGACAUUGACGCUGAGGAGCGAAAGCCAGGGGAGCAAACGGGGUUAGAUACCCUGGUAGUCCUGGCCCUAAACGAUGAAUGCUUGGUGUAGCGGGUAUCGAUCCCUGCUGUGCCGAAGCUAACGCAUUAAGCAUUCCGCCUGGGGAGUACGGUCGCAAGGCUG
This 371-nucleotide ribosomal RNA is filed under the name uncultured bacterium. Its description in RNAcentral is "bacterial SSU rRNA". It matches the Rfam family "Bacterial small subunit ribosomal RNA", at positions 527 to 896 of the family's 1533-position model. The record is from RNAcentral.